RNAcentral lists this ribosomal RNA (109 nucleotides) under bacterium 061242. Its description in RNAcentral is "partial 16S rRNA". It matches the Rfam family "Bacterial small subunit ribosomal RNA", at positions 355 to 463 of the family's 1533-position model. The record is from RNAcentral.
UGGGGAAUAUUGCACAAUGGGCGCAAGCCUGAUGCAGCAACGCCGCGUGAGGGAUGACGGCCUUCGGGUUGUAAACCUCUUUUAGUAGNGAAGAAGGCCUUCGGCUUGA